UCCAGCUGCUUCUGCCCCCGCGGCGAGCCCUCGUCUGAGGCCGCCGUGUCCAGGAAGCUCCCUCGGCGAGAGGUCAGCGGUCCGGCUGUUUUCUCCGUUCUCCCCCUCAGCGGUUCUCCAGCCACGGCUGGAGAUCACACGGUCUUUCAUUCACUCUUGAAUCGCCUGCCAAAGGGUUAAAUAUAUAUUUAUAUAUCCAUUAUUUUCCUCCCUAAAACCCUUAAACCCUUAUAUUAUUUCAGACGCCCACGCCCGGCUCACCAUUCUGCAUCCAUUUGUAUGUUUGAUCCAUUCAGGCUGGAGGGAGUUUACGGCCACCCCGACAUGCAUUUGGAGCGUUUUUAAACAUGAAUACAGGCUUUUCACAUUAACUGUGAACCCUUAUAAUUACCACAAAACAAAUGUAACGUGUUGAUCGCACACCAGUGGCACUGUUAGUGCUAUUGUUUCUCAAAACGAGGACCCCGUUCCCACUGGCUGCGUCGCACUGUCACAAAUUGGAUGCUGUUAGUUUUCUCUCUCUAUUUAUGUCUCUGAGGAGUAAAAGCAAAAUGCAUGCAAUUUUAUUUUUCAAAGUGU
Salarias fasciatus (jewelled blenny) is the source of this 579-nucleotide long non-coding RNA. RefSeq lists it as uncharacterized. NCBI's taxonomy places the organism in Eukaryota, Metazoa, Chordata, Actinopteri, Blenniiformes, Blenniidae. The transcript is spliced from 3 exons. The record is from RefSeq and is a predicted model, not a curated record.